UGGGGAAUUUUGGACAAUGGGCGAAAGCCUGAUCCAGCAAUGCCGCGUGCAGGAAGAAGGCCUUCGGGUUGUAAACUGCUUUUGUACGGAACGAAACGGUCUGCCCUAAUACGGUGGGCUAAUGACGGUACCGUAAGAAUAAGCACCGGCUAACUACGUGCCAGCAGCCGCGGUAAUACGUAGGGUGCGAGCGUUAAUCGGAAUUACUGGGCGUAAAGCGUGCGCAGGCGGUUAUGUAAGACAGUUGUGAAAUCCCCGGGCUCAACCUGGGAAUUGCAUCUGUGACUGCAUAGCUAGAGUACGGUAGAGGGGGAUGGAAUUCCGCGUGUAGCAGUGAAAUGCGUAGAUAUGCGGAGGAACACCGAUGGCGAAGGCAAUCCCCUGGACCUGUACUGACGCUCAUGCACGAAAGCGUGGGGAGCAAACAGG
This 429-nucleotide ribosomal RNA is filed under the name uncultured bacterium. Its description in RNAcentral is "bacterial SSU rRNA". It matches the Rfam family "Bacterial small subunit ribosomal RNA", at positions 355 to 776 of the family's 1533-position model. RNAcentral also lists the same sequence under 1 other name. The record is from RNAcentral.